This 385-nucleotide unclassified non-coding RNA is filed under the name Peregriana labiata. Its description in RNAcentral is "Radix labiata sequence contains ITS2". Lineage: Eukaryota; Metazoa; Mollusca; Gastropoda; Lymnaeidae. The record is from RNAcentral.
UCGUGUCGCCUGCUCGUGCGACGCGCUCUGGACCUUCGCGGCCAUAAAAUCCGGCGCACACCUAACCGCUCGCUCGGCGGUGUAGUGUGCCCGGUGGCCCCGUGGUCUUAAGCACAAGCCGCGCCGUUGUCCGUGUUCGUCUCGGGACGUCCGCGACGCCGCCUUGCUCUCGGCGGCGGCCAAAUUUCCUCUCCGUCACCGCUAUGCGGGACCCGGCUCGCUCUCGCUAACGGGCCCGCUUAUAACGAGCUCCAGGGUGACUGCGGAGGGGAGAAGCUUACGCUGACGCUGACGCUCACGCUCGCUCGACGAGUCGGCGCCCGUACGAAAAAAGUUUGUGGAAUUCUCCACUCUUUAUUUCCGACCUCAGAUCGGACGAGAUUAC